RNAcentral lists this ribosomal RNA (401 nucleotides) under uncultured bacterium. Its description in RNAcentral is "bacterial SSU rRNA". It matches the Rfam family "Bacterial small subunit ribosomal RNA", at positions 356 to 774 of the family's 1533-position model. The record is from RNAcentral.
GGGGAAUCUUGGACAAUGGGCGCAAGCCUGAUCCAGCCAUGCCGCGUGAGUGAGGAAGGCCUUAGGGUUGUAAAGCUCUUUUGGCAGGGACGAUAAUGACGGUACCUGCAGAAUAAGCCCCGGCAAACUUCGUGCCAGCAGCCGCGGUAAUACGAAGGGGGCUAGCGUUGUUCGGAUUUACUGGGCGUAAAGCGCACGUAGGCGGAUUGUUAAGUCAGGGGUGAAAUCCCGGAGCUCAACUCCGGAACUGCCUUUGAUACUGGCAAUCUUGAGGCUGGAAGAGGUUGGUAGAAUUCCCAGUGUAGAGGUGAAAUUCGUAGAUAUUGGGAAGAAUACCAGUGGCGAAGGCGGCCAACUGGUCCAGAUCUGACGCUGAGGUGCGAAAGCGUGGGGAGCAAACA